GGAACUUGACCAUAAGAGCUGUUUUGACUUUGGCUGUUUGUGGGCAUGCUCUUUUCAAAGGACAGAGAGCAGCUGUGCUGUGGACACCUUCUUGGGAAAAGACCAGAGCUUAAUUCCUUGCACUGCUACUGACUUCAGUGAGUGGGCAAAUCAGCUAAGCUCCAUUCACCUUGCUUUCCUCUAGAAUGGGAAAUGUGCAGUCCCUUAACCUGCACUGCAUGGACUUGUGACAGACUUUCUUUUUCAGAUACAAUAAAAGUAAAUGCUACCUAAGCACAGGAAAUACAAGUUUAGCAUUUUUCCAGUUUGCUUUAGUCUUUCUUAUUUUUUGGGGGGAAGAACUGAAGCCAAUUUCACUACACCCACCAGCCUUUAAUCUUUGUCCUAGGUCUUUCUUCAGGAUUUUUAACUGAUUUUUAUCAUGCGUGUAUUGCACUGAACUUACUGGCAAGAUUUUCUUCUGCCUACGUAGAGUGCUGGGUCCUAUAAAUAGGAUUUCAUAUGGCAUGCUCUGUGGUCUCUGUCACUAGUUUUGUGUAGGGAAAUGAGGUUAAUGCUGAUGUAAAAGUAAUCAAUUAAUUGUAAACUAUUAUCUACAGGAGUGUGGGAGGGAUGAGAAGCAGUGAUAGAAGGCAGCUUCUUCUCUGCAAACAGAUGAAAGGUGCAAAGCAGACAUCUUGAAGAGUCGACAUUUUAAGCACUGUAAGCCUGCAGGGAGAGAUAGGAUCGCUUUUGAGAUGUACCUGGAAAAAAAACCCAUCAGACAAGCUUUAGAGCAUACAAGUUGGGUGGAGAAUGGCUUGUGAGCAGCCCUGAGGAGGAUUUGGGAGUGUCAGUUGAUGAAAGAUUCAAUGUGAGCCAGCAAUACGUGCUUGCAAGGCCAAUGGUAUCCUGGGUUGCAUCAAGAGAAGUGUGACCAGCAGGUUGAGGAAGGUGAUUCUGCCUCUCUGCUCUGGUGAGACCCCACCUGGAGAACCCCCAGCACAAGAAGGACAUGGAGUUAUGGGAGGAGGCCCAGAGGAGGGCUAUUAAAGUGAUCAGAGGCCUGGAGUGCCUCCCCUACGAGGACAGGCUGAGAGAGCUGGGGCUCUUCAGCCUGGAG
Gallus gallus (chicken) is the source of this 1102-nucleotide long non-coding RNA. The record is from Ensembl. Lineage: Eukaryota; Metazoa; Chordata; Aves; Galliformes; Phasianidae.